This 1509-nucleotide long non-coding RNA is filed under the name Cricetulus griseus (Chinese hamster). RNAcentral's name for it is "lncRNA (ENSCGRG00000025266.1)". The record is from RNAcentral. Lineage: Eukaryota; Metazoa; Chordata; Mammalia; Rodentia; Cricetidae.
ACACAUACACUUCCCCUUAUUUCCCUGUAGGAAUUUUGUCAGGUCCAACAGAGGACACAAGGAGAAGAAACAAAAUGUAGCCAAAGCAUAUAGCAUUUGGAGCCAGAGAGCCUGGCUUGCAGCCCUCACCAUGAUGCACGAGUUGAAGCAGACAAUGUCCAGAAGCAAUGUGUACAUUCACUGUCCAGACCCAAGAUUCAAGAAGGUCCACAGAGUUUCCAAACAUGGAAAGAGAUGGGUGAGGAAGAAAGCAAAGGCUGGCAUCACACGUGAACGCUUACGAGUGCUGCUCCUGAGGAAGUUCAGACAAAGCCAAUGGGAAAGGCUGCCAUUUCCUUGUCAGGGUUAUUUCUUCCUUCAUAGAACUGGUGGUGUCUGGGUCUCAGGUGGCUCAAUGCUGAGCUUGUCACUACUCACAGUAUGUUUUCUCCCAAGACACUGCCAUACUGUCAAGCUAAUGAAGUUGAUGAAUAAAACUGUACAUUUCCAGAGAAAGGCUGUGUUCACCAAGACUGGACCACACAAUUCUGUACAACAGAGCUGCCUUGUUGUAGACGACCAACCUGGAGACUCUCUGAGUCAGACGCUUGCUUGUUAAGGAUGGGUUCUUAUGAAGAAGAAGAAUCCCACAAAUCAGAUGUUGAGUUGCAUCAGGUACUCUAUCUACCAUCCUUGGGUCUAAACACUGAUGCCCUCCCUCUCCAAGACCAUGCUGGUAUGGGCAUUAACAACAUUCCUGUCUGUGAUACUCUUUAUUGAUAUCAUUCUGUCUCCAGCCUAGAACUUUUUUUUUUUUUUUUUUUUUUUUUUUUUUUUUUUUUUUUUGGUGUGGUGCUGGGGACCUUGAACACAUAACAAGUAGUCUACUACUGGGCUUUACGCUCAGUCCUCUAUUUCAGUUCCUAACAUAGCUUGAUUAUUGUGGCAGUUGCCCACACUGGCUGAAACAUUGGGUUCUCAAAAUGUGACACUCUAAUGACUUUACCAAUUCCAUGUUUACUGAGUAGACAGCUCUGCUUUCUAAACUUCAAAAUUCAGUCCCCAGGCUUUUUUGACUGCCUUACCUACAAGGUAGAGUUAAUGGGUAUACUGGGCACAGAAUUUAGUGCUGGGAAGGAGUGCAGAGGUUCAGGCUUUGCCUCCAAUUUACUUGGUUGAUGUAGCUGCAGAUUUAUCAAGUGACUUCAUAACCUUUAGGAAACUAGUGUCUUUAUAUUAAUGACUGAAUUGGCCACAGCAUCAGGGAAAUUAAGAACCAUGUUUGCAGCUCUUUCUGACAACAGGGUAAGAUCAUAUGGCAUAUGUUAACUGUGCCGAUCAGAGAAUGUCUGGCUUUUGCCUUUUCUGUGGUUUUGUUUCUCUUGUUACAAUCUGUGCAAUUGUUUUCUACUUUUGCAAAGUGUUCACACAAGCUUUGUUGCAUAAAAGGAACUCUGAGCACAACAAUGUAGACAUGCCUGCUGGCAAUAAAUGUCUAUAUAUUAAAGGAAAAUAGCUGCAAAUUUCUUG